GUUGAAACCACAGGAGGGUCGAGCGGACCUGUAAUUACGACCUGACCGCUGUAAUUGUGUUUGAGCGGCGGAGGAACUGAGUUAGACAACAAGUGGAACAAAUUUGGUAACAACCUGCAUGAAGAGCAGCACUCUAGCAUGUGAGGCCUCGUUUAUUGAGCACGUUUCCUCAGCUGACCGAUCAAUGGAUCUGCUUAAAAGCGCGUGUUGGCGGCGCUCAGGCUUGAUGGCGUUUUAAUUUCUGCAAGUCAGGUUUGAGUUAUCAGCAUCCAGCAUCAGCAUCACAUCACACCAAUUUUUCUUUCCGCACCUCACAGAGCCACACCAGUCCCCAGGAUGACAGAGGAAUUUCACACUAAUCUAAUAUCCUCUUCCUGACAUCUAGAUUUCCUCACCCUGAGUCUGAGUGCUGGCACAUUUUUUGUGCUUUAUGGGCCAAAAGUUUAUUUUGGGCCUUGGUUAUUUUUACUCAGAUACACAGCUGGAUCAUUAGAGCUGCCAGUUUGGAGUAGUUUGGGCUUUACUUUAACAAGCUUGAAUUUUAAGAGUCAUUAUUAUGCAGAAG
This is a long non-coding RNA of Oreochromis aureus, 565 nucleotides long. Lineage: Eukaryota; Metazoa; Chordata; Actinopteri; Cichliformes; Cichlidae. The record is from Ensembl.